RNAcentral lists this ribosomal RNA (550 nucleotides) under uncultured bacterium. Its description in RNAcentral is "bacterial SSU rRNA". It matches the Rfam family "Bacterial small subunit ribosomal RNA", at positions 355 to 896 of the family's 1533-position model. The record is from RNAcentral.
UGGGGAAUCUUCCGCAAUGGACGAAAGUCUGACGGAGCAACGCCGCGUGAGUGAUGACGGCCUUCGGGUUGUAAAGCUCUGUUAAUCGGGACGAAAGGCCUUCUUGCGAAUAGUUAGAAGGAUUGACGGUACCGGAAAUAAAAGCCACGGCUAACUACGUGCCAGCAGCCGCGGUAAUACGUAGGUGGCAAGCGUUGUCCGGAAUUAUUGGGCGUAAAGCGCGCGCAGGCGGAUUGGUCAGUCUGUCUUAAAAGUUCGGGGCUUAACCCCGUGAUGGGAUGGAAACUGCCAAUCUAGAGUAUCGGAAAGGAAAGUGGAAUUCCUAGUGUAGCGGUGAAAUGCGUAAAUAUUAAGAAGAACACCAGUGGCGAAGGCGACUUUCUGGACGAAAACUGACGCUGAGGCGCGAAAGCCAGGGGAGCGAACGGGAUUAGAUACCCCGGUAGUCCUGGCCGUAAACGAUGGGUACUAGGUGUAGGAGGUAUCGACCCCUUCUGUGCCGGAGUUAACGCAAUAAGUACCCCGCCUGGGGAGUACGACCGCAAGGUUG